AUCACAUAAUCAUAGCCUACCAAGAUCACACUUCUAUACUUAUAUUUUUCCCAAACCAUGAGAAUAAAAUCACACUAAAAAGACUCAACAUCUUCAAACAUAACUCUUUAAUUUAGCUAUCAAGAACAACAUAAAUUAUCUAACUAGCCUUUCUCUACCUAGCAACUCAACGUUACUACUAACCACACAAUAUGCAAUAAUCCUCAAAAAAUAAUGCAGCCCCAUAGCACCU
Molecule: long non-coding RNA, 232 nt
Filed under: Capsicum annuum
Lineage: Eukaryota; Viridiplantae; Streptophyta; Magnoliopsida; Solanales; Solanaceae
Description: long non-coding RNA (CANN_LNC000863)
Source: RNAcentral